UAAUACGGGGGGGGCAAGCGUUGUUCGGAAUUACUGGGCGUAAAGGGCUCGUAGGUGGCCAACUAAGUCAGACGUGAAAUCCCCAGGCUCAACUUGGGAACUGCGUCUGAUACUGGAUGGCUUGAAUUCGGGAGAGGGAUGCAGAAUUCCAGGUGUAGCGGUGAAAUGCGUAGAUAUCUGGAGGAAUACCGGUGGCGAAGGCGGCAUCCUGGACCGAGAUUGACACUGAUGAGCGAAAGCUAGGGGAGCAAACGGG
RNAcentral lists this ribosomal RNA (256 nucleotides) under uncultured bacterium. RNAcentral describes it as "partial 16S ribosomal RNA". It matches the Rfam family "Bacterial small subunit ribosomal RNA", at positions 521 to 776 of the family's 1533-position model. The record is from RNAcentral.